RNAcentral lists this transfer RNA (97 nucleotides) under Microbacterium foliorum. Its description in RNAcentral is "tRNA-Ser". The record is from RNAcentral. Lineage: Bacteria; Bacillati; Actinomycetota; Actinomycetes; Micrococcales; Microbacteriaceae.
CCUGGGGAUAGUCGGCGGCGUCUACGCCCGCGUCAUCGAGGGGUGCGAGCUGCCCGUUCGAGGCGUAGAGCGGAAAGUUCGGGCCGUUCAUCCAGAA